Molecule: long non-coding RNA, 2078 nt
Organism: Homo sapiens (human)
Lineage: Eukaryota; Metazoa; Chordata; Mammalia; Primates; Hominidae
Exons: 2
Source: RefSeq, a predicted model, not a curated record
GCAUUUGAAAUCCUACUUUUUUUGCUUCUGGUUCCUUCACUCUUUCCCUCACCCCAAUCAGCAAAAUAUUUUGAACCAAGCUGGGAAGCUCCCUUACCCAACUGACUUCUUUCCUUUAUUUUAAUAUCUGCUCGUGUAAGCGUUCUCAGUGACAAGAUCUACACAAUGAUUACACAAAGGCUUAGGUGUGCCAGGCCCCGAGCUAAAAGCCUUAUGCACAUUAUCAUGUUAUCUCAUUUCCUUGUCACAGAACAGUUCCAAGGUAGGUACUAUUUUCAUUCUAUUUCAUAGUUGAGGAAACUGAGGUUUAAGGAGGUGGACUGGAUCACCCAACGCUCCUAGCUAAUUAGUGGCUGUCAGGUCUAUCUGCAAAGCACAGGCUUUUGAUGUAUAACCAAAACAGUCUCCUCUGCAAAGAGGCUGGUGUCAAUUUCGAAUUCACCUAAUUGAAUUCGAAAUUGGACAGGUCUUGGGGACUUUUGUCCUUAAGAGGUGUAAAGGUUUCUCUUCAAAGACCUUCCUCCCCAUUUAAUUAGGAAUAAAUAGUAACUUCUCUUAGAAGCAAAAUUUAUUCAAAGACCUGUGCUAACAUUCUUAAAUAUCUGCUAGCCAUGAUAAAGAAAUCAAUGUACUUUAUGUUCUUAGCUCCCACAAUUUAGCCUAAGUAUUUUCCCUGGCAUGCUUAUACUGGUCCAAGCAAGCAUUAGGUCAUAGCCUGUUCCUCUUCCUUAUCUAAAGGUGUUUUUACCUUUCUCAGCAUUCCACAAGUUACUUCCUCCUUCCUUUGUUCUCCUCUGCCUUUGCCUCUUUUAAAAAGUUCUAAGUUGUUAGCCAAUCGGGACAAAUACAGAAUGGGAGGUCCUGUUCCAGCCAAUGGAAACUGGACACAGCAGUAGGGUGGACGCGUCAGGUUAUAAAUGACCCUGUCUCCUUUGUUUGGUGUACUCUCGUGGCAAAACUCCUGGUGAGUGUACCCUUUCACAGAAAGUAUAAAAAUGUCCUUGCUGAGUAAAUUAAAUUUAUGUUCAAGUGCUAUUUCUUUACGGCACCAGGGAACAAGCAUUUCAAACAGAGGUGACUCAAUGGUGUUUCAGCGUCCAGGUGGCACGGUGUUCUCUCACUCCACCUCGACGGCCCAUGUCCACAAGAGGGUUCCUCCCAACAAGAAGCCUGUUCUACAACCUCAGCAGUUGUAGACUUAGUCCCAUCUUUCCCAGCUGAGGGUCCAGAACCUUGGCUGUCCCCAUCAAGGUCAGAAUCUACCUUACGUAAAAUAAUUUAUGAAAACUCUUUCAGAUCAUCCUGCAGUGAUUUCUUCCUGGUCAGGUGCCCUGGUUGAAGUCCAUGACGUCUCUUCCUGGCAAAGCCUGUUUAGAGCUGUUAUAUCCUGGUCCGGAUAAAAUAAGCCAGCUAGCUCGAGAAGGAAACUAUUGUCUUGGGAACUUGAGUGCCUGGAUCGUGGUGAGCUGGAGCUGAGUGCCCGAUACAUUCCAGCUGCCUCUUCAUGUCCAGUCUACACCCUCCAUCCUGCUGCCUGGGAGCUGAUCUCUAUGGGUAUCUCACCGGGGGCCCAGGGCCUAUGGCUGCUGGGGGCCAGAAGAAGGGAGGAGUGCAGUUAGGGUGUUUCUUCCCUGGCUCCUUCUCUGAGAGCGUGGCUCGGCUCCAUGUGGCUGUGUCCCGUGACUGCGGGGCAGGUUGCACCUGCACAUGAACCACUUUCACUGCUAGAAUCUGACAAUUGUCCCCAACUCACAGCUCCAGACCCUCUUCUGGGAAGGACUCAGCCACGCUUCCUCCUCGGAUCACAGAAGACUCCAGAUGCAAGCUGUCUGUUUGCAACAGUGUGCAGGGCUUCUCUGACUGGGAGGCUGCUCCUGUCAGCUGUUCACCUUCUUCACUGACUCCAGAGUGUGCACGUGAGCCUGCCUGGAGGCGCUUGGACAAUCAUUUACCCCAUUUAAAAAAAACUGGCCUGCGUUCUUGACUGCAAAAACUCAUUAUCAUAAAAAUGCCAUGUCCUCUUAAGUUAGCCUAUAAACUUAAUGUAAUGCUAAUAAAAAUAGCAAUAGGGCUAGGUA